UACGUAGGGUGCAAGCGUUAAUCGGAAUUACUGGGCGUAAAGCGUGCGCAGGCGGUUGUGCAAGACCGAUGUGAAAUCCCCGGGCUUAACCUGGGAAUGGCAUUGGUGACUGCACGGCUAGAGUGUGUCAGAGGGGGGUAGAAUUCCACGUGUAGCAGUGAAAUGCGUAGAGAUGUGGAGGAAUACCGAUGGCGAAGGCCAGCCCCCUGGGAUAACACUGACGCUCAUGCACGAAAGCGUGGGGAGCAAACAGG
RNAcentral lists this ribosomal RNA (254 nucleotides) under uncultured bacterium. Its description in RNAcentral is "partial 16S ribosomal RNA". It matches the Rfam family "Bacterial small subunit ribosomal RNA", at positions 524 to 776 of the family's 1533-position model. The record is from RNAcentral.